AACUGGCUCUACUGCAUGGGUCAUCCUCAUAGGUGCCAUGGUUCUCCUCGCCCUUCCUCUCAUCAUCCCUGCCUGCUCCAGUUCCUCAUAUGUGGAUACAGAUGGCCCUGACCCUGCAUCGCUACUAAACCAUGAUGACCCACAUCAGCCGCUCCUAAUCAGAAACAAUCAUCAAAUGGAGUCCAAUGCGAUGAUGCUAAAACCAAUGGAGCUCCAGAUGCAGGGCAAUUGUUGUGGAACAAUAGUGAGCAAGGGCUACCUGGUGGCACUCGGUGAAGAACAUAGUGCAAAGAAGCUCAUUUGGUGUGUGGACUUCUGGCUCUACUACACAGCCUACUUCUGUGGAGCCACUGUUGGCCUGGUAUACAGCAACAACUUGGGGCAGAUUGCGCAGUCAUUGCACCAGCAGUCACAGCUCACCAUGCUACUUAUUGCCUACUCAUCCUGCUCUUUCUUCGGUCGUCUUCUUUCUGCACUACCUGACAUCCUUCACAGGAAGGUGCCACUUGCUCGCACAGGGUGGCUUGCUGCUGCAUUGGUCCCCAUGCCAAUGGCCUUUUUCCUUAUGUGGAACCAACAAGAUGCAAGCACCCUGGUAGCAGGAACAACACUAGUUGGUCUAAGCUCAGGAUUCAUCUUUGCUGCAGCAAUGUCAGUGACCUCCGAGCUCUUUGGACCAAAUAGCAUUGGAGUGAAUCACAACAUCCUAAUUACCAAUAUCCCGCUGGGCUCACUCCUCUAUGGCCAGAUUGCUGCCAUGGUAUACGAUGGAAAUGGCCAAAAGAUGACAGUAGUGGAUAACUGGACUGGCAUUGUUGACACCAUGAUUAUGUGCAUGGGGGUGAAGUGCUACUCAACCACCUUCUUUGUGUGGGCUUGCAUCACAAUUCUAGGGUUAGCAUCAAGCAUAGUUCUAUUCAUACGAACAAAACCAGCUUAUUCUACUGCCGCUAGCUGGUCAAGUUGUAAGCACCAUCACCAAGUUUCCAGUUAAGUAGUUAACAGAGAAACUAGCUUGUACAAAAUUUUGGUUAGUUCUAGCUGAAAUGGGUUACAUACAAUACGUGAAAUGAAUACAUUACAGGAGACAUCAAGAGGAUAGGAAACUAUCAGCUUAGGAGGUGGUACGUUUGUACAGAACGAGUAUUAUUCCAUUUACUGGGCAUUAAUACUAACAAUUGGAGCCAGGUUGCAUAAAAUCCAUUGGGAAUUUUUGAUGCUCAUUGAAUCGAGCUAUGUGCAAACUCCUCCA
RNA transcript from Zea mays, 1252 nucleotides. It is a transcript of the gene named Major Facilitator Superfamily pseudogene, with no coding region annotated. Lineage: Eukaryota; Viridiplantae; Streptophyta; Magnoliopsida; Poales; Poaceae. The transcript is spliced from 2 exons. The record is from RefSeq and is marked validated.